RNAcentral lists this long non-coding RNA (2379 nucleotides) under Nicotiana tabacum (common tobacco). RNAcentral describes it as "long non-coding RNA (NTAB_LNC016199)". Lineage: Eukaryota; Viridiplantae; Streptophyta; Magnoliopsida; Solanales; Solanaceae. The record is from RNAcentral.
AGUAAAGGAUAUAACAAGUUGAUGAACAAAAAUGUAAGCUAGGAAAUGUUAUAUUGCUUUGAUAUUCGUGAAUGUAAGGUGACUACAAAUGAUGGGGACUCCUCAUUAUAUAGUAGAGGAAUCCUAAUUAUGAUAUAACUCUAAUUACAGAAGUAAAUCCCAUGAUUAGCCCAAACGACCACCCUUGAUUUGAUCUGUUCCAGGAGCCUAGAUCUUCGACCGGUUACAGAUAUCUCUCCUUUCCGUUAUUGUGCUUCAUUCAAAGUCGGUCAUAUAUGGUUUCAAUCGUUAUUGGCCUCGAUCUCGACGAGUACCUCGAUUCUCGAGCUUGAUACUUUAUCUUCGUGCUCUAACCUGAUCUCGAUUAAAUGGCAAAAUCGGGCAAGCCCUAUUCUAACCGUAUACAGAUAGUUCCCUCGUUUCUUAGAGUGUAAUGAGAAGAAACGAACUGAGCCUUCGAUUUUAUACUUCGACCAGUUAUGAUGUCACCCUUGUGACGUAACCGAUAGAAGCGACUAAAGCGUCGCGUCGGUACAGUUCCCAAGAUCAUUAAUAAGCGUCAGUUGAUGGUCGGCUACUAGUGCCUUUGAAACAUCACCGUGAAUCCUUGAAUAGGUCUUCUUCUCACUUCUUUAAACUUUACUUUGAAUUUAUCUUGCACUAAUCUUUAAAAUCUUUCUAAGUUUUACAAGUCUUUAUGCGAUUCUUCAAAGUUCUUCACAUCUAAUUAAGCCCAUCCAUUCUUGCACAGUUUCUAGGCCUUGUUACUAACCUUUAAGAUUAUUUGACAUCAAAUGGGACAGGGUACCGCCCUACCCAUAAGUCUGUAGUAAAACUCUAACACAAUGACUCAUAGACUCGGCUGCACUCCAAAUGAGGUGGAGUUUUACCGAUCCUUCGCUGAAUGUCAAUCUCAUCUACUAUGAGGGCUCGUCAAUCUGAUUAUCUAUACCUGCAGGCAUGAAUAGAGCGUCCCCAACAAAAAGAUGUCAGUACGAAUAAUGUACUGAGUAUGUAAGGCAGAACUGAAACAUAACAAUAAACCAACAUUGAUUAAAGCCAUAUUAUGAAUCAACAUGAAUCUCUAAAGUGCCAUCGUAUAUGCAUACUUACCAUACUCAUAUAUAUAUAUAUAUAUAUAUAUAUAUAUAUACACUGCUUCUUCAUUGACACUUAUUAUCCAUAUCGUAUGAUGCAUGACUGCCCAACUGAUCAGUGGUAAUUGCCCGACCGGCCUUCACACGGUGGUAAAUGUAUGACUGCCCAACCGGUGGUCACUGCCCGACCGGCCAUAGCCCGGUGGUAAAUGCAUGUCUGCCCAACCGGCCGUAGCCCGGUGGUAAAUGCAUGUCUACCCAACCGGCCGUAUCACGAUGGUAAUGAAGAUGCAUGACUGCCCAACCGGCCGUAGCACAGUGGUAAAUGAAUAUGUAUGACUGCCCAACCGGCUGUAGCACAGUGGUAAAUAUGUAACUACCCACUGUUCGCAACCAUUUAAUGAUAAUCAAUAUUUUCUAUCUCCAUUUUUUUCUUCAUGCAUGACACAAGAUAUGUGCCCUUAAUUUAAUCAAGGUUAAAAAUCAGCUAAGGCUUUCCUUAUAGCUAAACUGCUCCAGAACAAAAGGUUUCAGUGGUUCCUUAAAGGAAUAAAUAUUGUUGCCUGAAGAAGGAAUAGCAUCUGUGAUGCUAAAGGCAAUCUGGACACUUAACUCUUAAAAUUAAAGCAUGCUGAUAAGGAAGAAAAAACGCACAAGCAACAGUUUGUAUGCGAGUUUUUUUUUUCGACUGAAACGGUAAUCUACCAAGACAAGAUUAAGCUUUUACUGACACAAGUAAUAUUUCAAUAUACAACUGCAAGUAUGUAUUGUAUAGAGAAACAUGUUUUGCAAAAGGAAAAAUAAAUUACUAUAUUAUAAAUAUUAACAUCUUUAUCAAAUACCUCAAUAAGAAACUAGAUACAUACUUAGACAUUCUCGAAUAUCACUUCACGGGAAUGAAUAACAUAGACAUCCUUAACUGCUAAGAGUAGAAUGACUUAUGAAAUAAUGUUACUUUUACGUAUCGUUACUUGGAUAAUGCCAAAAUAAGAAGGAUUAGCCUUAACAUACCUGAGUCGAUUCUCUUGAGAAAGAUUGCACCGAACACCCUUAAAAAUACAAAAUUUCAUGUUGCUUUUAAUUGUUGAAGAUCUUUGUUGCUUAUGAGACGUUAAUGAGUAAGUGAUGAGUGAUCAAAGAGAACUACAAAUACCAGAUCCAACUUGAACGACCAAAAUUCUUAAUUUUAGAAAAUAUCUAUUGGAUAAAGUGGAGAAAUUAGAAAUGGUAUAAAAAGAAAGAAAAAAGGUUUCCAUGUAGGUACAAUGAACUAAGAAUGUAU